This 1062-nucleotide ribosomal RNA is filed under the name uncultured bacterium. RNAcentral describes it as "bacterial SSU rRNA". It matches the Rfam family "Bacterial small subunit ribosomal RNA", at positions 336 to 1402 of the family's 1533-position model. The record is from RNAcentral.
UUCCUACGGGAGGUAGCAGUGAGGAAUCUUGGACAAUGGAUGGAAAUCUGAUCCUGCCAUGCCGCGUGCAGGAAGACGGCCCUAUGGGUUGUAAACUGCUUUUGUAUGGGAGCAAUAAGGUCUAUGCGUAGACUGAUGAGAGUACCAUACGAAUAAGCAUCGGCUAACUCCGUGCCAGCAGCCGCGGUAAUACGGGGGAUGCAAGCGUUAUCCGGAUUUAUUGGGUUUAAAGGGUGCGUAGGCGGUUUGAUAAGUCAGCGGUGAAAUAUUUCAGCUUAACUGAAAGGGUGCCGUUGAUACUGUCAGGCUUGAAUAUGGUUGCUGUGGGUGGAAUGUGUGGUGUAGCGGUGAAAUGCUUAGAUAUCACACAGAAUAUCGAUUGCGAAGGCAGCUCACAAAGCCAUUAUUGACGCUGAUGCACGAAAGUGUGGGGAUCAAACAGGAUUAGAUACCCUGGUAGUCCACACUGUAAACGAUGAUAACUCGCUGUCGGCGAUACACAGUCGGUAGCCGAGCGAAAGCGAUAAGUUAUCCACCUGGGGGAGUACGACCGCAAGGUUGAAACUCAAAGGAAUUGACGGGGGCCCGCACAAGCGGAGGAACAUGUGGUUUAAUUUGAUGAUACGCGAGGAACCUUACCCGGGCUCGAACGGUGCAGGAAUACGUCAGAGAUGAUGUAGCUAGCAAUAGUCUGUAUCGAGGUGCUGCAUGGUUGUCGUCAGCUCGUGCCCGUGAGGUGUCGGCUUAAGUGCCAUAACGAGCGCACCCCUUUUCGUUAGUUGCCAUCAGGUAAUGCUGAGAACUCUAGCGAGACUGCCACCGUAAGGUGUGAGGAAGGGGGGGGAUGACGUCAAAUCAGCACGGCCCUUACGUCCGGGGCGACACACGUGUUACAAUGGGGCAUACAGAAGGUCGCUACCUGGCAACAGCAUGCUAAUCCCAAAAACCUCUCACGGUUCGGAUUGGAGUCUGCAACUCGACUCCAUGAAGCUGGUUCGCUAGUAAUCGCAUAUCAGCCAUGAUGCGGUGAUUCUUCCCGGCCUUUACACACCUCCAUCGUCC